UACGGAGGGUGCAAACGUUGCUCGGAAUCAUUGGGCGUAAAGCGCACGUAGGCGGUCGGCUAUGUCGGAUGUGAAAGCCUCGGGCUUAACCCGAGAAGGGCAUCCGAAACUGGCCGGCUUGAGUACGGAAGAGGGUCUCGGAAUUCCCGGUGUAGAGGUGAAAUUCGUAGAUAUCGGGAGGAACACCAGUGGCGAAGGCGGAGACCUGGGCCGAUGCUGACGCUGAGGUGCGAAAGCGUGGGGAGCAAACAGG
Molecule: ribosomal RNA, 253 nt
Filed under: uncultured bacterium
Lineage: Bacteria
Description: partial 16S ribosomal RNA
Rfam family: Bacterial small subunit ribosomal RNA
Source: RNAcentral